RNAcentral lists this ribosomal RNA (251 nucleotides) under uncultured prokaryote. RNAcentral's name for it is "partial 16S rRNA". It matches the Rfam family "Bacterial small subunit ribosomal RNA", at positions 525 to 775 of the family's 1533-position model. The record is from RNAcentral.
ACGGAGGGUGCAAGCGUUAAUCGGAAUCACUGGGCGUAAAGCGCACGUAGGCCGUUUGGUAAGUCAGAGGUGAAAGCCCGUAGCUCAACUACGGAAUUGCCUUUGAUACUGCUGGACUUGAGUUCGGGAGAGGGUAGUGGAAUUCCAGGUGUAGGAGUGAAAUCCGUAGAUAUCUGGAGGAACAUCAGUGGCGAAGGCGACUACCUGGACCGAUACUGACGCUGAGGUGCGAAAGCGUGGGGAGCAAACAG